UGAGAUCUGUUAUUAAACUGGUUUCCACUGGGGAACACUGAGAUCUGUUAUUAAACAGGUUUCCACUGGGGGAACACUGAGAUCUGUUACCUUUAAACUGGUUUCCACUGGGGGAACACUGAGAUCUGUUACCUUUAAACAGGUUUCCACUGGGGGAACACUGAGAUCUGUUACCUUUAAACUGGUUUCCACUGGGGAACACUGAGAUCUGUUACCUUUAAACUGGUUUCCACUGGGGAACACUGAGAUCUGUUACCUUUAAACUGGUUUCCACUGGGGAACACUGAGAUCUGUUACCUUUAAACAGGUUUCCACUGGG
Molecule: long non-coding RNA, 319 nt
Organism: Oncorhynchus keta (chum salmon)
Lineage: Eukaryota; Metazoa; Chordata; Actinopteri; Salmoniformes; Salmonidae
Exons: 4
Source: RefSeq, a predicted model, not a curated record